AGUACUGCGAAGGAAAGAUGAAAAGAACUUUGAAAAGAGGGUUAAAAGACUUGAAACCGUUGAGAAGGAAGCUGUAGAAGAGCAAUAAACUGGACGGCGCAUAAGGGGGAAGCGUUACUCACUGCAAAGUCGAUACGAAAGGUCGAUGAGUAAGGAAAGGACGCAGAACUUGCUACGCCGGUCAGAAGACAAAAUGAGUUUUGAUUAGAGGAGUCACCUGAGAUUGGGCAGCAAUGCAAAUCAAAAGGGAAACUCUAAAUGAGACUGAGGGGCCUACGGGCGAUUUUGUCAAAAUGGC
This 298-nucleotide ribosomal RNA is filed under the name Tetrahymena hegewischi. RNAcentral describes it as "partial large subunit ribosomal RNA". Lineage: Eukaryota; Ciliophora; Oligohymenophorea; Hymenostomatida; Tetrahymenidae. The record is from RNAcentral.